Molecule: non-coding RNA, 256 nt
Organism: Pelobates cultripes (western spadefoot toad)
Lineage: Eukaryota; Metazoa; Chordata; Amphibia; Anura; Pelobatidae
Source: the annotation of a GenBank genome assembly
UGAACACUCUGGGUACCAAUACAUCUUAAUCCUUUAAGCCAUUGUUACCUUGGGACUUGAUGAUGUCUCACUCCCAAUUAGAGUGUGAAAAUGGAAAACACAAUUAAAAGCUAAGUGCUGUUGACUUUUAAAACAGCAUACUUUUUACUCCUUACAGAAGACAUCCAGAUCGAUGUAUCUCUCUUAUUAACUGUCUGCCUAUGUAAUAUAUUUAUAUGCAGGUGUAUGCCUGUUUAGGAAAAACGUAUGUAAUAAG